This 254-nucleotide ribosomal RNA is filed under the name uncultured bacterium. Its description in RNAcentral is "partial 16S ribosomal RNA". It matches the Rfam family "Bacterial small subunit ribosomal RNA", at positions 524 to 776 of the family's 1533-position model. The record is from RNAcentral.
UACGUAGGGUGCGAGCGUUAAUCGGAAUUACUGGGCGUAAAGCGUGCGCAGGCGGUUCGUUAAGACAGGUGUGAAAUCCCCGGGCUCAACCUGGGAAUGGCGCUUGUGACUGGCGGGCUCAGAGUGCGGCAGAGGGGGGUGGAAUUCCAGGUGUAGCAGUGAAAUGCGUAGAGAUCUGGAGGAACACCGAUGGCGAAGGCAGCCCCCUGGGCCGACACUGACGCUCAUGCACGAAAGCGUGGGGAGCAAACAGG